AGUGAACGCUGGCGGCAGGCCUAAUACAUGCAAGUCGAACGGCAGCACAGCAGAGCUUGCUCUGUGGGUGGCGAGUGGCGGGCGGGUGAGGAAUACAUGGGAAUCUGCCCAGUCGUGGGGGAUAACGUAGGGAAACUUACGCUAAUACCGCAUGCGCCCUUCGGGGGAAAGCCGGGGACCUUCGGGCCUGGCGCGAUUGGAUGAGCCCAUGUCGGAUUAGCUAGUUGGCGGGGUAAUGGCCCACCAAGGCGACGAUCCGUAGCUGGUCUGAGAGGAUGAUCAGCCACACUGGAACUGAGACACGGUCCAGACUCCUACGGGAGGCAGCAGUAGGGAAUAUUGGACAAUGGGCGCAAGCCUGAUCCAGCCAUGCCGCGUGAGUGAAGAAGGCCCUCGGGUUGUAAAGCUCUUUUGUCCGGAAAGAAAAGCGCCGGGUUAAUACCCUAGUGUCCUGACGGUACCGGAAGAAUAAGCACCGGCUAACUUCGUG
This 490-nucleotide ribosomal RNA is filed under the name uncultured bacterium. RNAcentral's name for it is "bacterial SSU rRNA". It matches the Rfam family "Bacterial small subunit ribosomal RNA", at positions 29 to 507 of the family's 1533-position model. The record is from RNAcentral.